Ictalurus punctatus (channel catfish) is the source of this 452-nucleotide long non-coding RNA. NCBI's taxonomy places the organism in Eukaryota, Metazoa, Chordata, Actinopteri, Siluriformes, Ictaluridae. The record is from Ensembl.
AGAUAGAUAGAUAGAUAGAUAGAUAGAUACAGAAAUAAAGAAACAUAGCUAUGCAUGAUGUGUGUAUAUUCAAAUAUAAUAUUUAAUAUAAUAUUUAGUCUCUUUUUUCACAGGGGAAAACAAGCUUCGCCUAUACCGAGCUGUCUGUCAAUGAAAAGUGAUAAUUCAAUGAACCCUCCACUGAAAUUUCAAAGUGAAACAUCACAAGUGCACAGGGGAAAACAAGCUUCGCCUGUACCGAGCUGUCUGUCAAUGAAAAGUGAUAAUUCAAUGAACCCUCCACUGAAAUUUCAAAGUGAAACAUCACAAGUGCACAGGGGAAAACAAGCUUCGCCCGUACCGAGCUGUCUGUCAAUGAAAAGUGAUAAUUCAAUGAACCCUCCACUGAAAUUUCAAAGUGAAACAUCACAAUUGCACAGGACGAUAAAACAGGAGAGAUCCCACACAUCAGC